RNAcentral lists this ribosomal RNA (251 nucleotides) under Vibrio alginolyticus. Its description in RNAcentral is "partial 16S ribosomal RNA". It matches the Rfam family "Bacterial small subunit ribosomal RNA", at positions 1136 to 1386 of the family's 1533-position model. The record is from RNAcentral. Lineage: Bacteria; Pseudomonadati; Pseudomonadota; Gammaproteobacteria; Vibrionales; Vibrionaceae.
AACUCCAGGGAGACUGCCGGUGAUAAACCGGAGGAAGGUGGGGACGACGUCAAGUCAUCAUGGCCCUUACGAGUAGGGCUACACACGUGCUACAAUGGCGCAUACAGAGGGCAGCCAACUUGCGAAAGUGAGCGAAUCCCAAAAAGUGCGUCGUAGUCCGGAUUGGAGUCUGCAACUCGACUCCAUGAAGUCGGAAUCGCUAGUAAUCGUGGAUCAGAAUGCCACGGUGAAUACGUUCCCGGGCCUUGUAC